UGGGGAAUAUUGGACAAUGGGGGCAACCCUGAUCCAGCAAUACCGCGUGUGUGAAGAAGGCCUGAGGGUUGUAAAGCACUUUCAAUUGUGAAGAAAAGUUAACGGUUAAUAACCGUUGACCUUGACGUUAACUUUAGAAGAAGCACCGGCUAACUCCGUGCCAGCAGCCGCGGUAAUACGGAGGGUGCAAGCGUUAAUCGGAAUUACUGGGCGUAAAGCGUGCGUAGGCGGUUUAUCAAGUCAGAUGUGAAAUCCCCGGGCUUAACCUGGGAACUGCAUUUGAAACUGGUCAACUAGAGUAUGGUAGAGGAAAGUGGAAUUUCUGGUGUAGCGGUGAAAUGCGUAGAUAUCAGAAGGAACAUCAAUGGCGAAGGCAGCUUUCUGGCCCAAUACUGACGCUGAGGUACGAAAGCGUGGGUAGCAAACAGG
RNAcentral lists this ribosomal RNA (429 nucleotides) under uncultured bacterium. Its description in RNAcentral is "bacterial SSU rRNA". It matches the Rfam family "Bacterial small subunit ribosomal RNA", at positions 355 to 776 of the family's 1533-position model. The record is from RNAcentral.